UGGUGGAAGACGCGUGGCAAAAGUACAGUGGUCGACCGUCCAGAGUGGGUUGGUGUAGUGCGUCCGGCCGAGCGCGCACUGGUAUAGUGGAGACGUGCGUUCGGCUGAGUGGAGCACUCACCUCUUAAUUUAAUUCUGAUAGAUCUCUCUCUUCACCCUCUUUCCUUCAGUUUCUCAGAUUCAAUUCUCUCCUCCUUCUCUCUUCACUCUCUGCACCCUUCUCUCUCUAAGAAAUCACCACUGCACCUCCUCCAUUCCACACUCCGGCAAGAUUGAAGGACGCUCGGCGUAGGAGUUCCAGAGAGAACGUUCGACUGGUGAAGCUGUGGAUUAACGAGCGCUUGUUAUUGGAAUUUGAGUAGAGAAUCUGUGAACGUUCGUCAUUUCCGGAGGGAGAUGAGCGUUUGGAAGAAGCAUUGAAUGAAGAGAGCCUGGUUGAUGUUGAAGUGAAGAUCGAGCAGUGAGAUCGCUCGGCCAGUAUUGUAUUUAGUUGAAUUGAGUGGUCGUUCGACCAUCUCUUGUUUUCUUUUGAGUUAAUUCGACCGUUCAGUAAUUAUCCUGUGUAAACCGUUCGGUCAG
Long non-coding RNA from Vigna angularis (adzuki bean), 579 nucleotides. RefSeq lists it as uncharacterized. The transcript is spliced from 3 exons. NCBI's taxonomy places the organism in Eukaryota, Viridiplantae, Streptophyta, Magnoliopsida, Fabales, Fabaceae. The record is from RefSeq and is a predicted model, not a curated record.